CCUACGGGGGGCUGCAGUGAGGAAUAUUGGUCAAUGGGCGCAAGUCUGAACCAGCCAAGUCGCGUGCAGGAUGACGGCCCUAUGGGUUGUAAACUGCUUUUAUACGGGAAUAAACCGCCUUACGUGUAGGUCUUUGCAUGUACCGUAUGAAUAAGGAUCGGCUAACUCCGUGCCAGCAGCCGCGGUAAUACGGAGGGUCCGCGCGUUAUCCGGAUUUAUUGGGUUUAAAGGGUGCGUAGGCGGAUUGUUAAGCUAGCUGUGAAAUGGCGAGGCUCAACCUGGGAAUUGCAGCGGAAACUGGCGGGCUUGAGUGCAGUGAAGGCAGGCGGAAUGCGUGGUGUAGCGGUGAAAUGCUUAGAUAUGACGAAGAACCCCGAUUGCGAAGGCAGCUUGCUACAGCGCAACUGACGCUGAUGCUCGAAAGCGCGGGUAUCAAACAGGAUUAGAUACCCCAGUAGUC
Molecule: ribosomal RNA, 460 nt
Filed under: uncultured bacterium
Lineage: Bacteria
Description: partial 16S ribosomal RNA
Rfam family: Bacterial small subunit ribosomal RNA
Source: RNAcentral